RNAcentral lists this transfer RNA (63 nucleotides) under Salmo salar (Atlantic salmon). It matches the Rfam family "tRNA". Rfam says of the family: Transfer RNA (tRNA) molecules are approximately 80 nucleotides in length. Their secondary structure includes four short double-helical elements and three loops (D, anti-codon, and T loops). Further hydrogen bonds mediate the characteristic L-shaped molecular structure. tRNAs have two regions of fundamental functional importance: the anti-codon, which is responsible for specific mRNA codon recognition, and the 3' end, to which the tRNAs corresponding amino acid is attached (by aminoacyl-tRNA synthetases). tRNAs cope with the degeneracy of the genetic code in two manners: having more than one tRNA (with a specific anti-codon) for a particular amino acid; and 'wobble' base-pairing, i.e. permitting non-standard base-pairing at the 3rd anti-codon position. The record is from Rfam by way of RNAcentral. Lineage: Eukaryota; Metazoa; Chordata; Actinopteri; Salmoniformes; Salmonidae.
GCCUGUGUGGCUCAGUUGGUAGAGCAUGGCACUUGCAAUGCCACAGUUCGAUUCCCACGGGAC